ACAAAGCGCCCUUCCCACGGAGCUGCCUCAGCCCUGGGAUAGACUGUGUGCCUGCAAGCCUUCCCAGCAGGCCUCUGUGAGAGAUGCAAGCAAUCUCGAGUCCUUCAGAGCUGUGCGAGCGUUUGCUCUCUCAGCCUUCGUAGGGCCGGGUGUGACUGUGGGAAAUGCUUGUUCUUAGGAAAGCAGUUGACAGUUAAUGUACGUCAAGACCCCGGUUUGGCCCUAGAGGGAGACCUGGAUGAAUGCAGACACACAGACUGGUGACAACAGUUCAGCUUAUGGGGAGGGGGAUCUGAGGAGACCGAUCAGAGGGAGAGCACUGCUCAAAAAAUACUUGGCAUUUGAAGAACAGUGAACUCACCCAGCAAAUGCCGCUGCUUAAAAGAAAGGCUCUGAGCCCUUCUAGAAGGUUCGCUUGUUUACAGUUCGCAGAAACGUGUUAAUAUGAACAUGCUUUUCUGGUUUCACUGCGGUUUUGCCAAAGACAGCGAGGUGGUCAGUACCUCCCACAGAAAUGCAAAUGACGUGGACUGCACUGUUUUCUCCUUCACGGACCCCGAGGUCAGAGACGAGAAAGUGUUUCUCUGGUUUUAACAUCAUUCGUGUGUGUGUGUGUGUGUGUGUGUGUGCGCGCGUGUGUGCGCGUGUGCGUGUCUGCACGCGUGCACUCGAACACGAGUGCAGGUACGUUGGUAGGGGGCAUCCCGGUCUUCCAUCUUGUUUGAAACAAGGUUUUGUUGUUUCUUGUUUUGUAUGUUGGGUCCUUGAGCUGCCUCGGGCGUUCUCCUGCCUCUACUGAGACUUUGGUCACACAGUGCUUGGCUUACGUGUGUUCUGGUGAUUUGAGCUUAAACCCUCAGGUUUGUGUGACAAGCCCCUUACCCGCUGAGCCUCCGUCUCCAGUCCUCAACGUCACUGUCAUUUAAAACUGCAGUGUGCCAUGGAUGUCCUUAACACAAAUGGAUGCAGGAUGGUGCUCACAAACAGAAGGCCAUGGCAGAAAGCACCCACAGUCCUUUGGGGUUCUGAAGGCAGAAUUCCAUGCGGGUGUUCUCAUACACCCUGCCCCACAAGACUGUGGGCACAGAGCUUCCAGGGGUACACAGGGCACCCCUCCUGCAGCCAGGCCUCGGAGUUCAGAUGUCCACGCCCAAGCCCGUGGGCGCAGGCUCAGCUCUGCUCUGUCCAGGGACCUCGGAACUACAGUCCCUUCCCAAACUGCCCGCGGCGUCCUGUCAACAGAGCAGCAUGUGGCCUCUAAACAGAUCUCUAGUUAAGCCUCCUCAGGAGGGACGCCAGGAAAGCUGCGGCUCCUUCCGCCUUCACAGAACGCCUCCCUGCAGAGCAUCCCCUUAGUUCCUAAGACAAGUCACAAGGGGAAGGCACACCCCCCCGGCAGCCAGUCCUGCGACCUUGACUCUGAGGGCCAAGCUCACCCUCUCUGGGAGGACCCGGAGCCUUAAGCAAGAGCGCCAGCCUACGUGACUCAAACAUACCAUCUUCCUCUUUCAUAAGCAGUCACGUGGUGAGCUACAAUUACAAUUCCUGCCUUGUCUGUGCGAACUGCAGACGCAUUGCCUCACCCCAGAAACCCCGCUCCUGUGUGGAGGAGGCUGCAACUCUGGCAGCAGCAGCCGCUUUGGACCGGAUCCAGCUUCAGUCUGCGCCGGGAGGGAGGGCGGUGGGGGGAAGGCGGAAACAAAGCUAUGUUUACUUAGCAUGCAUCGAUUAAAAAAAAAAGAAAGAAAAAACAGCCAAACUGCUGCGGAGUUCCACCAGCGGCUGUGACACAGGGCAAGGACCUGCCGCCCCGGAUCCAGGACCUGCCUUGACCCCCGGAGCCGGCUUGCUCUUUAUGGCCCGGCAGGCCAGAUCUGAAACAGCCUUUCCGUUUUCCAGCAGGCAGGCAUCUCUAGUGGGGAAGUUCGAACAGUCGAGUUUCGACAUGAAGCCGGGGGUGUGAAAUACAAAGGAAAUGCCGGUCUUGAGAAGUGGAGCUCCAGUUCAGCAUUUCUCAAGGCAGACAUUAUACCUCAGUAAUUCUAUUUUGGGCGCCCGCUGGCAGGUGAACCGGGUGUGAGCAGGCCACGCUUUCACGCAGCCUUCUGCCUUGUUUUAGUGUUUCAGCGUCUUGCCCAGGGGGGACCAUCCCUCAGGGCAGCGAGAUGGCUGCAGAGAGGGCAGCGUCAUCUCCUCCACUCAGUAUCUCCACGAGCAAAACCACACGCUCACACGAGUGGCACAGGGUCUUGGAGGAGAGUGACCAGACUGGCAGGUCCUGGAACAGGUGCCCAAACCAGCUGGCACCAGCUGCUUCUGGGAAUGGAUCCGGGUAGGCCCCAUUCCAGGCUUGGAGAGGGCAAGGCAGGCUUGUGACUGGAACGGGAGAGGGGAGCCCUUGACACAGGUGUGCCUUCUGUGGAAAGCCCCUGAGACGUUCAAGGUUAGCCCGUGGCCGCCCCUGGCACCUGGCGGUAAGCUUUCCGUGCCACCUCCAACAGGUUUGUUCUUGUGCUCAGACAGCUCCCUGGGCCGUCUCUCAUGAGGCGUGUUUCCUCUUGUGGCUAUUCUUUGAAGCAACCUGGCAUUUUCAAUGGCAGCAACCAGAGAGAAACGUCAGCAGAUUUUUUUUCCCUCCCUUUUCAAUCCGGUCCUAGGAAAGAUAAUGUAAUUAGCACCCUGUUCUCCCCACACUUAACCGGCUCACUCCAGUCUUGGGGAGAGCAGCAGGGCCCCUGUUGUUUACCACAGGAGCGGCUCUUACCCAGAGCCAACUGAGCGUGUAGGUGCCAAAUGAGAGGGUCAGCCUGACUGACCGGCCACAGCCAUUACCUGUGCCUGCUCACUAUCAAAGCGGGCAGCCCGCAGUGCCCACGGGGGAAGGGCGCAGCGAGACAAGGCGGCCGACAGCCGGGUGGGCCCACAAGGAGCCAAG
Long non-coding RNA from Meriones unguiculatus (Mongolian gerbil), 2935 nucleotides. RefSeq lists it as uncharacterized. The record is from RefSeq and is a predicted model, not a curated record. NCBI's taxonomy places the organism in Eukaryota, Metazoa, Chordata, Mammalia, Rodentia, Muridae. The transcript has 3 exons.